This 329-nucleotide ribosomal RNA is filed under the name uncultured eukaryote. Its description in RNAcentral is "partial 18S ribosomal RNA". It matches the Rfam family "Eukaryotic small subunit ribosomal RNA", at positions 1470 to 1796 of the family's 1831-position model. The record is from RNAcentral.
CCCUUAGAUGUUCUGGGCCGCACACGCGCUACACUGACGAUGGCAACGAGUUUUUCCUUCGCCGAAAGGUGUGGGUAAUCUUUUGAAACAUCGUCGUGCUGGGGAUAGAUCAUUGCAAUUUUUGAUCUUGAACGAGGAAUUCCUAGUAAGCGCGAGUCAUCAGCUCGCGUUGAUUACGUCCCUGCCCUUUGUACACACCGCCCGUCGCUACUACCGAUUGAAUGGUUUAGUGAGGACUCCUGAUUGGCGCCGCCGCCCCGGCAACGGAGCAGCGGACUGCCGAAAAGUUGUUCAAACUUGAUCAUUUAGAGGAAGUAAAAGUCGUAACA